AAGAGCGAAUAUUGUACUAUAUUACAUACCCACUCGUAGUUGUGCUCGUUACAUUUAUAUACACGAAAUAAUUCACACGACGGGACUUGGAAACUAUUCGGGAUGAUAUUACACGCUUGCAGUUUAACGUCUACCGUGUUGACAACAUUUUUUUAUUUUAUGUACAAAACCAAAUACAUUGAUAACAGUUAUGUUUGUGAUAGAAAUAUAAAAUAUACUACCAAACGAAUAACUCAAUUCGUCGUUUUAUCGUACUCAUUACGGCGAAAAUGUAGUUAAGUAUAAUAUAACCGACAUUCAUAUACGUACGCGUAUAAAACACACGUAUAGAUUACUGCCAACACACAUAAGUCUUAAAAUGUAUGUAACAAUGUGUAUAUAGUAAUAUAAAUUAAAAACACAACCUCGGUAUUGACUGUUCUUAGAUUCUCAGAAUUGGUAAACAUAAACAAACAAUUUUAACGGAAUAAAGUAAAGAUAUAGCUAAUUUUUUAGGAUACCCGGGAAGAUCAAAAAUAUUAGCACAGCUAUUUUUGUUAACGUGAAUUCGAAUUAAACACACAAUUGUGCUUUAAUAUAAUUGAUUUGUUUUUCGACGAUUUUCCAGUUUUCACUUAUUAUUGAAAAUUGUCGAUAAUA
Long non-coding RNA from Rhopalosiphum padi (bird cherry-oat aphid), 639 nucleotides. RefSeq lists it as uncharacterized. The record is from RefSeq and is a predicted model, not a curated record. The transcript is spliced from 5 exons. NCBI's taxonomy places the organism in Eukaryota, Metazoa, Arthropoda, Insecta, Hemiptera, Aphididae.